GCAAUCGUGGUGUAAAUGUAGCACACUUGACGCGUAUUCGAGAGGUCCAGGUUCGAGUCCCGGCGAGAGCA
Non-coding RNA from Stegodyphus mimosarum, 71 nucleotides. NCBI's taxonomy places the organism in Eukaryota, Metazoa, Arthropoda, Arachnida, Araneae, Eresidae. The record is from Rfam.